UGCGUAGGCGGUCAUCUAAGUCACGUGUGAAAUCUUCUGGCUCAACCAGAAAACUGCGCGUGAAACUAGUUGACUUGAGUGAGGUAGGGGUGUGUGGAACUUCCGGUGGAGCGGUGAAAUGUGUAGAGAUCGGAAGGAACGCCAGCAGCGAAAGCGGCACACUGGGCCUUUUCUGACGCUGAGGCACGAAAGCUAGGGGAUGAACG
RNAcentral lists this ribosomal RNA (206 nucleotides) under uncultured bacterium. Its description in RNAcentral is "partial 16S ribosomal RNA". It matches the Rfam family "Bacterial small subunit ribosomal RNA", at positions 568 to 774 of the family's 1533-position model. The record is from RNAcentral.